RNAcentral lists this ribosomal RNA (447 nucleotides) under Triticum aestivum (bread wheat). RNAcentral describes it as "partial small subunit ribosomal RNA". The record is from RNAcentral. Lineage: Eukaryota; Viridiplantae; Streptophyta; Magnoliopsida; Poales; Poaceae.
AUGCCCAAGCGCACCAUGGGAGGGAGGGCCGACGCCGGGGCCGACGCCACGGCGCACGAAGCAUCCAAGCACUGUGCAAAGCUGCACAUGGAGAAACCCCUCCCCGCCGGCGAGGGGUCCAACCGGCAGAAGGGCGUCCUUGACGUUGUCGACCACGUCCAGGCUCCGGUGCAGGUGUCACCUAUGCCGGAGCAGGUGGCUCCUCCGCCGGAGCAGGUGACUCCUCUUCCAUGCCAUGUGCCUCCUCUGCCACACCAUCUGCCUCCUCUGCCACACCAUCUGCCUCCUCUGCCGCAGCCCGUGGUCAACGUCGACGGUGAUGACGACGACAAAGAGGUAGCUGCUCUGGCUCCUCAGACAGAGCAGGUGUCUCCUCUGCCGCGGGUGACGCCUCCUGUGCCCGAGCCUGUGGUCGUCGGCGAUGUCAACAAAGAAGACGUUUGGUGA